RNAcentral lists this ribosomal RNA (253 nucleotides) under uncultured bacterium. RNAcentral's name for it is "partial 16S ribosomal RNA". It matches the Rfam family "Bacterial small subunit ribosomal RNA", at positions 524 to 776 of the family's 1533-position model. The record is from RNAcentral.
UACGGGGGGGGCAAGCGUUGUUCGGAAUUACUGGGCGUAAAGGGCUCGUAGGCGGCCAACUAAGUCGGACGUGAAAUCCCCAGGCUCAACCUGGGAACUGCGUCCGAUACUGGAUGGCUUGAAUCCGGGAGAGGGAUGCAGAAUUCCAGGUGUAGCGGUGAAAUGCGUAGAUAUCUGGAGGAAUACCGGUAGCGAAGGCGGCAUCCUGGACCGGCAUUGACGCUGAGGAGCGAAAGCCAGGGGAGCAAACAGG